This 1312-nucleotide long non-coding RNA is filed under the name Chloebia gouldiae (Gouldian finch). RNAcentral's name for it is "Erythrura gouldiae (Gouldian finch) lncRNA (ENSEGOG00005006178.1)". The record is from RNAcentral. Lineage: Eukaryota; Metazoa; Chordata; Aves; Passeriformes; Passeridae.
UUAUUUUUUUUUUUAAGAGUGGGAAGCAUGAAAGUGGGAGGGGAGAGGAGCAGAAAAAGGAAAUUUCUGGAGCCUUGGAGCUUGCUUUUCCCUCUCCUUCCCCGCUCCCAAGAUGGCUUGAAAAAAGUAAAAAGGGACAGUAAUAAGGGGGACACACACACAGAGAAAAGCUCGUGAAGAGGGAAAAAGUUUGGGGAAUUGGGGUUUCUUGUGCGUGUGUUUGGUCUUUGUGUUUGGGGUUUUCGUUUUGGGUUUUUUUGAUUGUUUGUUUUUUAAACCAUAGGAUCCCAGAAUGACAGAAGCGACUACAAACACCCGGGAAGAGCAGGCACAAGGAGAGGAACGAGCGAGAGAAAAGAGUUUUGCUGUGUGCCGCGGUGCGAUGUAGAACCACCUGGGGGUGAAGGAAUCACAUCUUCCUGUGGUAUUGUUAAGGGAUCACACAACCACAGAGUGUUUGAGGAAGGGAAGGGAAUUUAAAGUCAUCCAGUUCCAACCCCUGUCACUGAGGUGGGCAGAGCACCCUGUGGAUGAUACACUGGGGGCCUUUGACCUUUAAAUAACCUUAAAUAAAUUUAAAAAUCUGAAGUCAUACAGUGAAAAUCUAUGCAGAUCCACACAAGUAUAUGUUAUUUUUGCCUGACAUGUAUCUGUUAUGCCUAGUACCAAUCCAAACUGACAAGGUACAUCCUUCAGGGGCUGCAUGGGUCCUGCCUGUCAUGCAUCCCUCUUCCAGGCAUGAUAGAAUAUUCUGCAGUCCUCUUUCUUCCUUACAAGCAUCAUUAUUAUGAUGGCACAUUACCUGCUGGCACUGCAGGACAGCUUGCACACCAAAAUUCAAACUCCAGUCCAUCACCUCUGACAGCUUUGAAUCCCUGUGCCAGAAACCCUUGGAAGACAACAUGAGAAAGAGGAUUAACUGCAUGGGUCCUUACAUUCUUGGUGGCUGUCUCUUCUAAAGUGCUGCUGGAGAAGUACAUGGCUAUCGCUCACAGUGAAAUGGUUUGGGUGUUUGGUGUUUCAGGAAGAAGAUAACUCAAUACAUUUUACGGGGGGGAGAGGGGGCUCUGUCCUGUCAAUAGUGACCAAGAACCACCUUGAUGAGGCCCUUGUGCUAAGGAGUUGUGAGCUGUCUCAUAAGAGCACCUUGUUGGCACCUGUACUGAACAGUCAUGUCCUGCGUGAGGGAGUGCAGAGCAUGCAGGCAAGAGAGAAGCUCAAGCUCCACAACAGAGACAAAAUAUCAAAAGCAGUGAAGAAAUUACGCCAAGCUUUAGGUAAAAGUCUGAUCUGGGAGAUCAUUGCAGAGUGA